AACCCCACAGCCUACCUGAGUAUUGUUGCUGACCAUGUCCAUCCCUUUAUGACUACAGUGUACCCAUCUUCUGAUGGUUACUUCCAGCAGGAUAAUGCACCAUGUCACAAAGCCUAAAUCAUCUCAGACUGGUUUCUUGAACAUGACAAUGAGUUCACUUUACUGAAACGGCCUCCACAGUCACCAGAUCUUAAUCCAAUAGAGCAUCUUUGGGAUGUGGUGGAACGGGAGAUUCACAUCAUGGAUGUGCAGCCGACAAAUCUGCAGCAACUAAUUGAUUCUAUCAUGCCAAUAUGGACCAAAAUGUUUCCAACACCUUGUUGAAUCUAUGCCACAUAAAAUUAAGGCAGUUCUGAAGACAAAAGGGGGUCCAACCCGGUACUAGCAAGGUGUACCUAAUAAAAUGGCCAGUGAGUGUAUAUGUGUGUGCGUGUAUGUGUGUAUGUGUAAAAUUAUAUAUCAGUCUGGCAGGUAAACAAAACAUUUUCAUAUCCAAUGGCGAUUAUAUUGCCAAGAUGUAUGUAGAAGGUUGAUAUAAACCAAUUUGAUGUUAUAUAAUACAUAUUAUAAAUGAGGUAAAACAUACUUUCUGCAUUUUCCUUUUAAAAUAAAACCUCCAGUUCCUCAUUGCGACUGGAAAUCUUUUUGAAAAAUGUUUAGGCUCAAACAGCACAUAAAUAUCAUUCUAAAACAAUACAUUGUUACAAAACACAUUUUGUGAAUAAGAUUAAACACCUCAUUUCUGUGUUUACCAUCCUUGUAUGCUCCACAUCACUAGUUAAACAAAAAUGGCUUCUGUGAGAAAUGUUUCAGCUGGUUUAGGUGUGCACGAAUAGUAAGAUUGCACAUUGCAAAUUUGUGAAGCCGACACUGCACAUUAAAGGGAUAGUUCACCCAAAAAUGAAAAUUAUGUCAUUAAUGACUCACCCUCAUCUUUCUGUCCCUCCAUUGAGAAUGUAUGUACGGUAUACUGUCCACGUCCAGAAAGGUAAUAAAAACAUCUUCAAAGUAGUCCAUGUGACAUCAGAGGGUCCGUUAGAAUUUUUUGAAGCAUCGAAAAUACAUUUUGGUCCAAAAAUAUCAAAAACUACGACUUUAUUCAGCGUUGUCUUCUCUCCCGGGUCUGUUAUGAGCGCGUUCACAACACUGCAGUUUAGUGAUAUCCGGUUCGCGAACGAAUCACUCGAUGUAACCGGAUCUUCUUGAACCAGUUCACCAAAUCGAACUGAAUCGUUUGAAAUGGUUCGCGUCAACAAUAAGCAUUAAUCUACAAAUGACUUAAGCCGUUAGCUUUUUUAACAUGGCUGACACUCCCUCUGAGUUCAAAUAAACCAAUAUCCCAGAGUAAUUAAUUUACUCAAACAGUACACUGACUGAACUGCUGUGAAGAUAGAAGUGAAGAUGAACACCGAGCCGAGCCAGAUAACGAACGAAACAUUGACUCGUUCUCGAGUCAAGAACCGUUUCUGUCGGACGCGUCCGGUUCGAGAACCGAGGAGCUGAUGAUACUGCGCAUGCGUGAUUCAGCGUGAAGCAGACUGACACACAGCGCCUCUGAACCGAGCUGGUUCUUUUGGUGAUUGAUUCUGUGCUAAUGUUAUGAGCGCUGGUAAACCGAAGGCUUGAAUCAAGGGCAAUCAUCGCCAAUGAAGUCAUUACGUCGAGCGCAAAAGAACUGGUGAACCGUUUUUGGCAACCGGUUUAUUGAAUCAAACUGUCCGAAAGAACCGGUUCGUGGAAAAGAACAGAACUUCCCAUCAAUACCGGUGAUCCGAAAACCGAUGCAACCGGUUCUUGACUCGAGAACGAGUCAAUGUUUCGUUCGUUAUCUGGCUCGGCUCGGUGUUCAUCUUCACUUCUCUCUUCACAGCAGUUCAGUCAGUGUACUGUUUGAGUAAAUGAAUUACUCCGGGAUAUUGGUUUAUUUGAACUCAGAGGGAGUGUCAGCCAUGUUAAAAAAGUUAACGGCUUAAGUCAUUUGUGGAUUAAUGCUUAUUGUUGACGCGAACCGUUUCAAACGAUUCAGUUCGAUUUGGUGAACUGGUUCAAGAAGAUCCGGUUACAUCGAGUGAUUCGUUCGCGAACCGGAUAUCACUAAAUUGCAGUGUUGUGAACGCGCUCAUAACAGACCCGGGAGAGAAGUCAAUGCUGAAUAAAGUCGUAGUUUUUGAUAUUUUUGGACCAAAAUGUAUUUUCGAUGCUUCAAAAAAUUCUAAAUUCUCUGAUGUCACAUGGACUACUUUGAAGAUGUUUUUAUUACCUUUCUGGACGUGGACAGUAUACCGUACAUACAUUCUCAAUGGAGGACAGAAAGCUCUCGGACUAAAUCUAAAAUAUCUUAUACUGUGUUCCGAAGAUGAACGGAGGUCUCACGGGUUUGGAACGACAUGAGGGUGAGUCAUUAAUGACAUAAUUUUCAUUUUUGGGUGAACUAUCCCUUUAAAUAAAGUUAUUAGCUGGGUUCUAAAAUCCCUUGAUUUUUUUUUUUACAUAUGAUAAGUCAUUUUACUAUGAAAACAUCCUGUACGUUUCAGAACUCAAAAUUUAUUGUUAGUCUAAAAACAGCUU
Molecule: long non-coding RNA, 2568 nt
Organism: Cyprinus carpio carpio
Lineage: Eukaryota; Metazoa; Chordata; Actinopteri; Cypriniformes; Cyprinidae
Source: Ensembl